Molecule: unclassified non-coding RNA, 337 nt
Filed under: soil metagenome
Description: partial contains 5.8S ribosomal RNA, internal transcribed spacer 2, and large subunit ribosomal RNA
Rfam family: 5.8S ribosomal RNA (bases 1-120)
Source: RNAcentral
GAUGAAGAACGUAGCGAAAUGCGAUAAGUAGUGUGAAUUGCAGACUUUAGUGAAUCAUCGAAUCUUUGAACGCACAUUGCGCCCCUUGGUAUUCCAUUGGGCAUGCCUGUUCGAGCGUCAUUUACAACCUCAAGCUCCGCUUGGUGUUGGGUGUCUGUCUGCGCUUCUUGCGAAGACUCGCCCUAAAUCUAUUGGCAGCGGCAUCGCCGGCUUCUCGCGCAGUACAAUGCGUUAUGGAAGGCUACCGGCGGGCUUGCGGCCAUCAAGUAACCCCCCAAGUUUGACCUCGAAUCAGGUAGGGAUACCCGCUGAACUUAAGCAUAUCAAUAAGCGGAGA